AUGAUCUUAUGCUCUCUAAGUAUGUCGGUUACUUCUUUGAAUGAUCUUCUCCUUUGUAGAGUUACCACGGAUAGGUCAGCAAAGAUUUGUAGCAGUGCAUAUUUUGACGGUAGGUCAGUGCAAUUUCUUGCCGCUCUCAUAAUAGCCUCCUUCACAUGGAAGUAUUGGAGGUGGGUUAAUGUGUCUCGUGCUGUCUCCACUGGAAAG
Pelobates cultripes (western spadefoot toad) is the source of this 207-nucleotide non-coding RNA. The record is from the annotation of a GenBank genome assembly. Lineage: Eukaryota; Metazoa; Chordata; Amphibia; Anura; Pelobatidae.